RNAcentral lists this ribosomal RNA (253 nucleotides) under uncultured bacterium. RNAcentral's name for it is "partial 16S ribosomal RNA". It matches the Rfam family "Bacterial small subunit ribosomal RNA", at positions 524 to 776 of the family's 1533-position model. The record is from RNAcentral.
UACGGAGGGUGCAAACGUUGCUCGGAAUCAUUGGGCGUAAAGCGCACGUAGGCGGCCUUGCAAGUCGGAUGUGAAAUCCCACGGCUCAACCGUGGACGUGCAUCCGAAACUGCUCGGCUCGAGUAUGGAAGAGGGUCGCGGAAUUCCCGGUGUAGAGGUGAAAUUCGUAGAUAUCGGGAGGAACACCAGUGGCGAAGGCGGCGACCUGGGCCAAUACUGACGCUGAGGUGCGAAAGCGUGGGGAGCAAACAGG